UUGCUUUGGCAGCACAUAUACUAAAAUUGGAAUGAUAAGGAGAAGAUUAGCAUGGCCCCCAAACAAGGAUAUUGUCCUAAAUAUAGCUAUAAAGCCAAAUACC
Molecule: small nuclear RNA, 103 nt
Organism: Suncus etruscus (white-toothed pygmy shrew)
Lineage: Eukaryota; Metazoa; Chordata; Mammalia; Eulipotyphla; Soricidae
Source: RefSeq, a predicted model, not a curated record